RNAcentral lists this long non-coding RNA (267 nucleotides) under Elaeis guineensis (African oil palm). Its description in RNAcentral is "long non-coding RNA (EGUI_LNC043461)". The record is from RNAcentral. Lineage: Eukaryota; Viridiplantae; Streptophyta; Magnoliopsida; Arecales; Arecaceae.
GCCUCACUUAUCCUGUGUCGAAUAUUAGAUUGAUAAAUUCUAAUGGAUAAGGUGGGGGAGGUGAAUCAAGCAGGGUAUUCACCUCCUGAACUUAAAUUUUUUUAAUGGGCUCAUCCAGAAAAUCAUCUUUUAUUAAUUCUAAGGAGGAAUCGAAUUCAACUAUUUCAUCUAUUAAUUCAACUACCGAACAGUUUUUCACUUUUUGAGUAUACUUUGAGGCAUUAAAAUUAUUAAUUUUCACCUUUUGAUUUUGAAAUGAAAUGUCCA